UUUUGUUUUUGUUUUGUUUUUAU
Molecule: small RNA, 23 nt
Filed under: Arabidopsis thaliana (thale cress)
Lineage: Eukaryota; Viridiplantae; Streptophyta; Magnoliopsida; Brassicales; Brassicaceae
Description: ATSL015170
Source: RNAcentral